AGAAGAUAUCAGCUCCAUCGAAGGUGGUGGCUUCAAUGAUGAACCUAUCAAGUCUGAGUUGGUCAUGCAAGAGCGUGAUGCUUCUGCUAAUUCAAUCUCUCACACCACCAGUUUUAGCAGAUGGGAAAAAGGGCAACGCAUUGGGGCCUGUGGAUAUGGGAUUAUGUUGCCCACAAAAGGGAAAUCAGAGAGUUAGUUGCAGUUAGGGAACUUAACGACAUUUGCGAACGCGAACAUGUAGAAUCUAUUAAAAAGGAACGUCUUGUGUAUAUUGGACCCUGCAAAAAUUCUUUAGGUACGGCCGCGAAAUAGUUAAUGAGGUAUCAAGUCAAUUCAAUUAAAAAAA
Neltuma alba is the source of this 346-nucleotide long non-coding RNA. RefSeq lists it as uncharacterized. The transcript is spliced from 2 exons. The record is from RefSeq and is a predicted model, not a curated record. Lineage: Eukaryota; Viridiplantae; Streptophyta; Magnoliopsida; Fabales; Fabaceae.